GUUAAUUCUCUAGCAUUAUUGUUGAAAGAAUUUAGUCAACAAUUCCGCUAUGUAAUCAAGAGGGAUCCAGCCAACUCCUGCCAAUUUUCAUUGUGCUGGACCCCAAAACCCAUUUCAUUCAAAAAGCCACAUUCCUAAUUACUCUAUGUUAAUUCAAAUUUCUCUUUGUUACUAUUGUAAACCUAAUUAACCCAUAGUUUAACCGUGCAACCACAUCUCCCAAUUUUCCCUUUUCAACGCCGCCGAACCUGUCUUUUGUGAAGCCUUUCUCGGUCCCUGGCGUCAAUUCAAGUCAGCACCGCCGCCGCGCCGGUCAGCGAUCCACCAAGGGGCUCCCCGAAGUCAUCCCAGCGCCGUCGCUUCUGCUGUAUGUAACUGGUGGCCUUCCAUUGAAGACGCAUCCACUCCUCCAACAAACCACCCGACGGCGCCUCCUGUUGCUCUGCCUUAACACACACGCGGUGGAAGUGUCCCUGCCUCGGUGAAGAACUAGCAAGCUCCCCUGCUGUUUGUCCCUGUGUUCCUACUAGUGAAGCUUACACAACGGCGCUUCAGGUUGCUAGGAAUAUCAAUGAGAAGAAAGGGAAAUUGCGGCGGCUCGCACUAAGUAUGAGAAGUUGCAAGCGGAGAUGAAAGAAGCUAUGACUAACUUGGUCUCUCAAGUAGGUCAGACAGGGGAAUUGAAACUCCAUCUCAGGGAGCGUGAUCAAGAGAUAGCUAGCAUGAAGAGUGCACUGGCCUAAUUGAUAAAGCACAUGAAGAUUGACUUGGGGAAGAAGAUUGAAUAAGCAACACUUAUCGAUGCAAAAGUUAAACAAAAAAUCACUUUUGUUUUUAUUCAUAUGUUUAUUUCGGUCAAACUUUGAUGAUCACCUUUGAGAGUUUGGGUGGUUUUAAUUAGAUAUUCAUCAAUAAACUUUCUAAGUUUAUAUGAAUGUGCAGAUGAUUUUUUUAAGCUACUCAGUUUCUUUGUAGACAUAUUAACAUCAAUGCAAGUUCAAUUGUUUGUUACA
Non-coding RNA from Arachis ipaensis, 1013 nucleotides. NCBI's taxonomy places the organism in Eukaryota, Viridiplantae, Streptophyta, Magnoliopsida, Fabales, Fabaceae. The record is from RefSeq and is a predicted model, not a curated record.